UACAGAGGGUGCAAGCGUUGUUCGGAAUUACUGGGCGUAAAGGGCUCGUAGGCGGCCAACUAAGUCAGACGUGAAAUCCCUCGGCUUAACCGGGGAACUGCGUCUGAUACUGGAUGGCUUGAGUUUGGGAGAGGGAUGCGGAAUUCCAGGUGUAGCGGUGAAAUGCGUAGAUAUCUGGAGGAACACCGGUGGCGAAGGCGGCAUCCUGGACCAACACUGACGCUGAGGAGCGAAAGCCAGGGGAGCAAACGGG
RNAcentral lists this ribosomal RNA (253 nucleotides) under uncultured bacterium. RNAcentral describes it as "partial 16S ribosomal RNA". It matches the Rfam family "Bacterial small subunit ribosomal RNA", at positions 524 to 776 of the family's 1533-position model. The record is from RNAcentral.